This is a long non-coding RNA of Prunus avium (sweet cherry), 1464 nucleotides long. RefSeq lists it as uncharacterized. The record is from RefSeq and is a predicted model, not a curated record. Lineage: Eukaryota; Viridiplantae; Streptophyta; Magnoliopsida; Rosales; Rosaceae.
AUAAUUUGUUUUGGCAGUGUCUCUCUGGGAUUUUGUUGCUUGCUGGGUUUAUUUUCUAUGUUUUUUGUUUUGAUUCAUUAGAAAUGAGGCAUUGUAGUAUUAUCUCAGCCUUUGAUUGUUGCUUUAGAUUGGACUGGUUGAUGAUUUUGCUAGAUUUUAGGAAUUCAGGGCUCUUUGGAUGAUGGUUUUAGAUAGGAAAAAUUGUAGGAUUCACUGGUGCUGAGAUAUAAUCACUUGGCACAGGCCUGCGUGCUCUUCUCCGCUUUAUGACAGGAUUGUAUGUCUGCCUGAUUAGAGAUGACGUAUAUUCAAACACUCGGCAGCGAUCCACAGAAGCAGCAGGACGUUCUAUAGUCUCAAUUGUUGUGGACCACAUAUUUCUCUUCAUUACUGAUACUGAGUUCCAGCUCGAACUUUUGAUGCAGUCACUCUUCUUCUCACGGGUACUGUUCUAUGACUCUUACAUAUUAAAUGAAAAUUUUCAUUGCCAUUGUCUUAGUAUUCUAUGACUCUUGGAUGGGUCCUAUGUACUCUUUUUGUUUUGUAGUUGUUUUUUUAUUUAUUUUUAAUUUUUAAUUUUCCAAAGAACAUGAAAGCCAAGAUUACAGCUGAUUACAGAGGACUGAGUUCACUAUUACUGCUUUCUUUAGACUUUGUUGAGAUCAGCAAAGAACCAAGUAUGUAACUUGGUCAUUAGUAUCAAACUUGAUAGUUUUAUGUUGCUGUCAUCAUGUUUAAUUUUCUGCAAUAAGGAUCCUUUGUGCUAGCAUUGUCUUAGAAUUGUUUGAUUGUGAUUGUUAAUUUGCCCAGACGAUUGCUUGAUGUAUAAUUUUAGAAGGGUUAUCUACUUAAUAUUUCAAAAUCUUGAAACAUAGACUUCACUUUUGGGUAUGGUUAUAAGCUAUGCUUGGUUGAACUAUGUUCUUUUGAUUUGUGUUUGCUGAAUUAUUUCAAUUUAUGUUUUUGUGAUACCUCAUUAGCUAUUUGAUCUGGUCUUCUGGCUAUGAAUAUGAAUGAACAUGUAUGAGACAGAGAGAAAGGGAGAGCGACCUGAUGAUGUUGAUGAGAGCUAGAGAGAGAAAAACAGAGGAGAAUAGUAGGUUGCUAAAAGAGAACUAGGGUUUCCCAAACUCCUCGGAUCUGCGCCGUGGAGUUUGAAAGUAGACUAGACGCUACCGGUACUAAUCAUGGAACACUUUCUAUAGUUUUCGUUUUGAUUCAUUAGAACUGAGGUAUUGUACCAUACGUGGGUUUAGCUUACAGAGUUUUCGUAGAGGUAAAGAAAGCCUCUGCAUUGAGGUUCUGAUUUCAUAUGUACACUUUUGUUGUUGUUAUUUUCUUAGUUGUAUUUAUUCUGGGCCUUUCACUGGUCUCUCUCCCCUCAAUCCUCCUCUCGCUUGGCCUCUCCAAUAUCACUCUUUUCUCCAUCACUUCAUUUCCUUUUGCUGUUAAAUUUUCUGAUUU